CCUACGGGUGGCAGCAGUGAGGAAUAUUGGUCAAUGGACGAGAGUCUGAACCAGUCAAGUCGCGUGAGGGAAGACGGUCCUACGGAUUGUAAACCUCUUUUGCCGGGGAGCAACGGGGUCCUUGCGAGGGCCCGAUGAGAGUACCCGGAGAAAAAGCAUCGGCUAACUCCGUGCCAGCAGCCGCGGUAAUACGGAGGAUGCGAGCGUUAUCCGGAUUUAUUGGGUUUAAAGGGUGCGUAGGCGGGCUGUUAAGUCAGCGGUCAAAUGUCGGGGCUCAACCCCGGCCUGCCGUUGAAACUGGCGGCGUCGAGUGGGCGAGAAGUAUGCGGAAUGCGGGGUGUAGCGGUGAAAUGCAUAGAUAUCACGCAGAACUCCGAUUGCGAAGGCAGCGUACCGGCGCCAGACUGACGCUGAGGCACGAAAGCGUGGGGAUCGAACAGGAUUAGAUACCCUAGUAGUC
Molecule: ribosomal RNA, 460 nt
Filed under: uncultured bacterium
Lineage: Bacteria
Description: partial 16S ribosomal RNA
Rfam family: Bacterial small subunit ribosomal RNA
Source: RNAcentral